UACGUAGGGCGCAAGCGUUGUCCGGAAUUAUUGGGCGUAAAGAGCUCGUAGGCGGUUUGUCGCGUCUGCUGUGAAAACCCGAGGCUCAACCUCGGGCCUGCAGUGGGUACGGGCAAACUAGAGUGCGGUAGGGGAGAUUGGAAUUCCUGGUGUAGCGGUGGAAUGCGCAGAUAUCAGGAGGAACACCGAUGGCGAAGGCAGAUCUCUGGGCCGUAACUGACGCUGAGGAGCGAAAGCAUGGGGAGCGAACAGG
This 253-nucleotide ribosomal RNA is filed under the name uncultured bacterium. RNAcentral describes it as "partial 16S ribosomal RNA". It matches the Rfam family "Bacterial small subunit ribosomal RNA", at positions 524 to 776 of the family's 1533-position model. The record is from RNAcentral.